AUACGUAGGUGGCAAGCGUUGUCCGGAUUUAUUGGGCGUAAAGCGAGCGCAGGCGGUUCUUUAAGUCUGAUGUGAAAGCCCCCGGCUCAACCGGGGAGGGUCAUUGGAAAAUGGAGAACUUGAGUGCAGAAGAGGAGAGUGGAAUUCCAUGUGUAGCGGUGAAAUGCGUAGAUAUAUGGAGGAACACCAGUGGCGAAGGCGGCUCUCUGGUCUGUAACUGACGCUGAGGCUCGAAAGCGUGGGGAGCAAACAGGAUUAGAUACCCUGGUAGUCCACGCCGUAAACGAUGAGUGCUAAGUGUUGGAGGGUUUCCGCCCUUCAGUGCUGCAGCUAACGCAUUAAGCACUCCGCCUGGGGAGUACGGCCGCAAGGCUGAAACUCAAAUGAAUUGACGGGG
This 397-nucleotide ribosomal RNA is filed under the name uncultured bacterium. Its description in RNAcentral is "partial 16S ribosomal RNA". It matches the Rfam family "Bacterial small subunit ribosomal RNA", at positions 523 to 918 of the family's 1533-position model. The record is from RNAcentral.